GUCAAGUCAUCAUGCCCCUUAUGCCCAGGGCUACACACGUGCUACAUUGGCGCGUACAGAGGGAAGCGAUACCGCGAGGUGGAGCAAAUCCCAAAAAGCGCGUCUCGGUUCGGAUUGGAGGCUGAAACUCGCCUCCAUGAAGGUGGAGUUGCUAGUAAUCGCGGAUCAGCAAUGCCGCGGUGAAUACGUUCCCGGGUCUU
This 200-nucleotide ribosomal RNA is filed under the name uncultured organism. RNAcentral describes it as "partial small subunit ribosomal RNA". It matches the Rfam family "Bacterial small subunit ribosomal RNA", at positions 1184 to 1382 of the family's 1533-position model. The record is from RNAcentral.